UACAGAGGUCCCAAGCGUUGUUCGGAUUCACUGGGCGUAAAGGGUGCGUAGGCGGCGCGAUAAGUUGGGCGUGAAAGGCCCGGGCUCAACCCGGGGACUGCGCUUGAUACUGUCGCGCUGUGAGUCCGGGAGAGGAUGGCGGAAUUCCCAGUGUAGAGGUGAAAUUCGUAGAUAUUGGGAAGAACACCGGUGGCGAAGGCGGCCAUCUGGACCGGCACUGACGCUGAGGCGCGAAAGCGUGGGGAGCAAACGGG
This 254-nucleotide ribosomal RNA is filed under the name uncultured bacterium. Its description in RNAcentral is "partial 16S ribosomal RNA". It matches the Rfam family "Bacterial small subunit ribosomal RNA", at positions 524 to 776 of the family's 1533-position model. The record is from RNAcentral.